Molecule: long non-coding RNA, 1399 nt
Filed under: Helianthus annuus (common sunflower)
Lineage: Eukaryota; Viridiplantae; Streptophyta; Magnoliopsida; Asterales; Asteraceae
Description: hypothetical non coding rna
Source: RNAcentral
GUAUAAUAUUGUACAACAUUCUUAAACACAUCAAUAGUUGUAAAUUGUGUCAAACACACUUGCGUCACAAAAACACAGAUAAUAGAAAGAUAGAGUUAUUUUAGAGAGAGAGAGAGAAGAGAGAUACGGUGGAAGGACCAUGGUUUCUAGUGGUGAACCCGGCUGCGCACGGCAGCCCUCUCACUUCCGACGCAUAAACGACCGCCAUGGCGGCGGUGAGUUGUAGAGUUGUACUUCAGGUGAAGUCCGGCCAGUCUCCGGCGAAGAUCCGAUCGGGUAUGGAGCUCAUGGCUUGUAUUGGCGGCUAGCGUUCCAGUUUAGGGGUUUUGAAACCAGAUCGUGUUUGGAGACAACCUUCACGAUGUGUUAGUGUUUUGUGCAUAGGGACUUCCAGUUUCACAACCCAAAAUAACCCUAAACGUCGUGAGCGAACCGACCACCAUCGUCCUCCUCUUACGGUUCAUCUUCUUCGUCUUUCCACGACUAUGAGAUACUAUAGUUGGAGAACUUUCGGCCGACAAAGUCAAAUACAAACUCAAAUACAUCGUCGGAAACGCUAAUGUAGUCUACAGGCUCAAAGUAAUCGCACGUGAUAAUAACAUGCCAACAUCUUAGUUACAACAAGAGGCGAUGAGCAGUCUUGCAUAUCCCGUGUUUUCUACAACUUUACAAGAAGCAAGAAAAUGGCGAAGGCUCGAUCAAGAGUAAUGGAUAAACGAAAGAAGGGUGCUGCAUGUGAAAGCACAUUUGGCUUUAGAAAGCGCGCCUGAGGCGCGCCAUCAGGUGCAGAAUGCUACAGUUUACUUAACAAUAGGUGGAUGUUUUCUAGAAAGCAAGAAUUUCUUCGCCUUUUAUGUCGGGUACUGAAUCGAUUAAGCGCGUGCUUUAUUGUCAGUUUGAGCUACAUUACAUGAUUUGGUAUUGUGGAAGUCGAGCUUCGCAAAUCAAAGAGAUGUGGGCUAAAGGAUAAAUGUCUUGAUGAUAUACUGUUAUACUUGCACCAAUCUUGAAGGUUGUUUUAAGUUGUGAAUCAUUUAUUAAUGGAUUGUACAAAUGACGAGCAGACAUACUUAUUGUAUUAUAUGCAUGUUUGCGGAGUCUUGACUGCUGCUCCAUUCCAUGCAAGCCCACCACUCUACUCAUGAGAGAUGGGUUCACUUUACUGUCACUGGUGGUUAGCGGGUUGACACAACAAGGAAGCCUUGAUGCUUGGGUAUGGUUAGAUAUUUAGAUUAGAGCAGUUUAUGUAGUGGUAAGUUGGAUUAGAGGAGGCAGUUUUUUUUUGUUUAAAAUAGCAGAGGUUAGAGAGCAAUUUAUUUUAUUUAUUAUGACAGACAUCUGUUAAUUUUGAUUUUUGUUUAUGACUUUGUAUAAUAAACCAAAUCACAAUAGAGUCACU